GGGAGAUUGGGGAGGGGAGAUGAUGAGGAUGUCGCCUUUGGAGAUAAAAGGAAGCAACAUGGUUUGCUCUGUGAUUGUACCGAAGGGGGAAGAUGGUUGUUUGUAAAGGAAGGGAGAAGACGGAAGGCCUCUGAUGAAAUUUGAGCCCACGUGUGCAGAGCACAAUCGAUUAGCAGCAUCGCCUGAACUACUCGGCCACCUCAUCUGAGCUGUCAGGGAUGGGACAGGAGGAGAAAUCUAAGGCCAGCAGAGCAUGAAAUUCCUUAUUAUCCAACAAGGGAGCCAGACUGGGAUUCAUGGGGAAGAAAGUCCUCAGAAGAUGUUAGCCAGGGAGAGGAAGGUGCGCCAGAGCAAAAGGAAGAAGAGAUCAGAAGAAGGAAAGCAACUAAACGAGCUAAAAUCACAGAAGAACCAAGGGAGAAGAAGCAGGAGCAGUGGCAGCACCAGGUUUUGACAGAGCAGAAGGAUCUUUACAGAGGGAGUGAAGCCAUCAGGAGAAAGGCUGAAACAGCACUUCCUUUCCUGCUCCUGUUCUUUGUUAUAUUUAAAUAUAUUUUAAAGAAGAAAAGCAAUACACCCCUCCCCGCAUUCAGCACAACCCAAGGCAACGUGAGAACAACUGGGAAUGAGACAAUCUGUCCAUGAAGAGGGAAUUAGAUGACUGUAACAAUUACUUUGCAGUGAGAGGAACAGUAUAAAUGUGCCUGCUCCAUGAGACACUGCAAACCCUUCCCAAAGCACCCUGCGGCCAGAUGCAUCUGAAGAAGUGGGGUUUUUUUUUACCCACGAAAGCUGAUGCCCAAAUAAAUCUGUUUGUCUUUAAGGUG
Molecule: long non-coding RNA, 827 nt
Organism: Malaclemys terrapin pileata
Lineage: Eukaryota; Metazoa; Chordata; Testudines; Emydidae
Exons: 5
Source: RefSeq, a predicted model, not a curated record